UACGGAGGAUGCGAGCGUUAUCCGGAUUUAUUGGGUUUAAAGGGUGCGGAGGCGGAUCGUUAAGUCAGUGGUCAAAUUGAGGGGCUCAACCCCUUCCCGCCAUUGAAACUGGCGAUCUUGAGUGGAAGAGAAGUAUGCGGAAUGCGUGGUGUAGCGGUGAAAUGCAUAGAUAUCACGCAGAACCCCGAUUGCGAAGGCAGCAUGCCGGCUUCCUACUGACGCUGAAGCACGAAAGCGUGGGGAUCGAACAGG
RNAcentral lists this ribosomal RNA (252 nucleotides) under uncultured bacterium. RNAcentral's name for it is "partial 16S ribosomal RNA". It matches the Rfam family "Bacterial small subunit ribosomal RNA", at positions 524 to 776 of the family's 1533-position model. The record is from RNAcentral.